UACAGGGAGACCAACUUCAGUAACCAGUAACCAGCGACCAGCGACCAGUAAGAUGCGUCACGGUACUGCCGGACAAGAGCUGGAAACUGAGGACAUCCCGAGGUCGGACGACACCGACAAAACAGCUCGAGUGAAGCAACGCUUUCAAACUAGAACUGGUUCGGUAAGAGUGUUACCACCAGUAGGGGCUAUUAGCUCAGGUGGUUAGAGCGCACCCCUGAUAAGGGUGAGGUCCCUGGUUCGAGUCCAGGAUGGCCCACCUCAACAGAACUCAGAAUUGAGAAUGCACAAGUCGAAAGUAGCACAGACAACUUGUGGCAAGAUGAACGGAAGAUGAUAGACUAGUCAAGUUGGGCAAAAUUCAGCACUGUCUGCUGGGCGGACAACUGCUGGGUAGAUUCCAGCGAGCACCUUGAAAACUGCAUAGAGACAAGAGAUAAAGUCAGGUAGAAAACCAAGUAUUUGCGAAAUUACU
Molecule: transfer RNA, 475 nt
Filed under: Chroococcidiopsis muralis HA8275-LM2
Lineage: Bacteria; Bacillati; Cyanobacteriota; Cyanophyceae; Chroococcidiopsidales; Chroococcidiopsidaceae
Description: 16S-23S ribosomal RNA intergenic spacer
Rfam family: tRNA (bases 186-259)
Source: RNAcentral